This is a small nucleolar RNA of Nyctereutes procyonoides (raccoon dog), 67 nucleotides long. The record is from RefSeq and is a predicted model, not a curated record. Lineage: Eukaryota; Metazoa; Chordata; Mammalia; Carnivora; Canidae.
UCUUAUGAUGAAAACUGUCCAGUUCUGCUACUGAAAGGAAAGAGAUGAAAGCCUUUCAUCUGAGGAA